RNAcentral lists this ribosomal RNA (354 nucleotides) under uncultured soil bacterium. RNAcentral describes it as "bacterial SSU rRNA". It matches the Rfam family "Bacterial small subunit ribosomal RNA", at positions 26 to 368 of the family's 1533-position model. The record is from RNAcentral.
AGAGUGAACGCUGGCGGUAGGCCUAACACAUGCAAGUCGAACGGCAGCACAGCAGGAGCUUGCUCUUACGGGUGGCGAGUGGCGGACGGGUGAGGAAUACAUCGGAAUCUACCUUUUGGUGGGGGAUAACGUAGGGAAACUUACGCUAAUACCGCAUACGCCCUUCGGGGGAAAGCCGGGGACCAGCAAUGGCCUGGUGCUGAUAGAUGAGCCGAUGUCGGAUUAGCUAGUUGGUGAGGUAAUGGCUCACCGAAGGCGACGAUCCGGUAGCUGGUCUGAGAGGAUGAUCAGCCACACUGGAACUGGAAGACACGGUCCAGACUACCGUAGGGAGCAGCAGGUGGGAAUAGUUCG